UGGCGCAGUUGGUAGCGCACCACACUGGCAGUGUGGGGGUCACGGGUUCGAAUCCC
This 56-nucleotide transfer RNA is filed under the name Corynebacterium sp. BCW_4722. RNAcentral describes it as "tRNA-Ala". It matches the Rfam family "tRNA", at positions 8 to 61 of the family's 71-position model. From Rfam's summary of the family: Transfer RNA (tRNA) molecules are approximately 80 nucleotides in length. Lineage: Bacteria; Bacillati; Actinomycetota; Actinomycetes; Mycobacteriales; Corynebacteriaceae. The record is from RNAcentral.